RNAcentral lists this ribosomal RNA (253 nucleotides) under uncultured bacterium. Its description in RNAcentral is "partial 16S ribosomal RNA". It matches the Rfam family "Bacterial small subunit ribosomal RNA", at positions 524 to 776 of the family's 1533-position model. The record is from RNAcentral.
UACAGAGGGUGCGAGCGUUGUUCGGAAUUAUUGGGCGUAAAGGGCGCGUAGGCGGUGCGGUAAGUCACUUGUGAAAUCUCCUGGCUCAACUGGGAGCUUGCAGGCGAAACUGCCGUGCUGGAGUGUGGGAGAGGUGCGUGGAAUUCCCGGUGUAGCGGUGAAAUGCGUAGAUAUCAAGUGGAACACCAGUGGCGAAGGCGAGUCCCUGGACAACUCCUGACACUGAGGCACGAAAGCUAGGGGAGCAAACAGG